UACAGAGGUCUCAAGCGUUGUUCGGAAUCACUGGGCGUAAAGCGCACGUAGGCGGAUGUGUCAGUCAGGGGUGAAAUCCCGGAGCUCAACUUCGGAACUGCCUUUGAUACAGCACGUCUUGAGUCCGAUAGAGGUGGGUGGAAUUCCUAGUGUAGAGGUGAAAUUCGUAGAUAUUAGGAAGAACACCGGUGGCGAAGGCGGCCCACUGGAUCGGUACUGACGCUGAGGCACGAAAGCGUGGGGAGCAAACAGG
This 253-nucleotide ribosomal RNA is filed under the name uncultured bacterium. RNAcentral's name for it is "partial 16S ribosomal RNA". It matches the Rfam family "Bacterial small subunit ribosomal RNA", at positions 524 to 776 of the family's 1533-position model. The record is from RNAcentral.